Molecule: long non-coding RNA, 824 nt
Organism: Psammomys obesus (fat sand rat)
Lineage: Eukaryota; Metazoa; Chordata; Mammalia; Rodentia; Muridae
Exons: 2
Source: RefSeq, a predicted model, not a curated record
AUCUAACAGCAGGUGAAAAGUCCCCUUGUGUGAUGCUGCAUCCCUGUAAUCAAGGCACUUGGAACGUAGAGGCAGGAGGAUCAGGAAUUUAAGCAACACAAUAUGGAACAAGAUACUGCAGAAGCCCAAUGACCUGAGUUCAACCCCAAAAUCCACGUAAAAAAGUUUGAGGCAGUGGUGAGCACCUGUAAUCUCAGUAAUCCUCCAUCAAGAUGGAGGGCAGAGACAAGAGACUCACACAAGGCCCACGGUCCAGCUAACCUGGAGUACACAGGACAGUAGAAAUAAUAAGAGAGACCCUUGAUGAGGCAGGAGAGAGCUGACUCUCAAAGGCUAUCCUUUUACACACACACACACACACACACACACACACACACACACACAUUAGUUGUCUUUCUGUUGCUGGAUAAAAUACCAUGCACAAGGCUGUUAGUACUGAAAAAUAAGUUUGUUUUCAUUUUUAAAGACAGUUAAUACAUAUUAAUAUUAGCUUGUUUCUUUCAUUGUGAAGCUCAAAAUGAUGAUUCAUGAUGGACCAUGGACUAUACUAAUAAGACGGGACCUCAUGAAGCUACUCAAAAUGGCAAGAGUGUGGUUUGUGUCUGUGUGUGGAUAAGUGCACAGAGAGGCCUGGAAGUGAAGAGACCAGGCUGAUGAGAAGGCUCAGCAGGGAAAAGAACUUGCCACCAAAUCCGAUGACUUGAGUUUGAUCCCAGGGACCCAAACAGGAGAGAAUCCACUCCAGCAAGCUGCCCUCUGACCUCCACGUGUACUGCUGUAAUAUGCACCUACCUCCAAAUAAAUGAUUUAUGAUUUUAAAAUUA